UACAGAGACUGCAAGCGUUAUUCGGAUUCACUGGGCGUAAAGGGUGCGCAGGCGGCCAAGUGUGUGAGGCGCGAAAGCCCGAUGCUCAACAUCGGAAUUGCACCUCAAACUACAUGGCUAGAGCAUUGGAGAGGGUAGCGGAAUUCACGGUGUAGCAGUGAAAUGCGUAGAUAUCGUGAGGAACACCAGAGGCGAAGGCGGCUACCUGGACAAUUGCUGACGCUCAGGCACGAAAGCGUGGGGAGCAAAAGGG
Molecule: ribosomal RNA, 253 nt
Filed under: uncultured bacterium
Lineage: Bacteria
Description: partial 16S ribosomal RNA
Rfam family: Bacterial small subunit ribosomal RNA
Source: RNAcentral